AUGCUCGCUUCGGCAGCACAUAUACUAAAAUUGGAAUGAUACAGAGAUUAGCAUAGCUCCUCUGCAAGGAUGACACGCAAAUUCGCGAAGUGUUCCAUAUUUUA
This 104-nucleotide small nuclear RNA is filed under the name Dasypus novemcinctus (nine-banded armadillo). The record is from RNAcentral. Lineage: Eukaryota; Metazoa; Chordata; Mammalia; Cingulata; Dasypodidae.